Molecule: long non-coding RNA, 1236 nt
Filed under: Numida meleagris (helmeted guineafowl)
Lineage: Eukaryota; Metazoa; Chordata; Aves; Galliformes; Numididae
Description: lncRNA (ENSNMEG00000018221.1)
Source: RNAcentral
GGAAGCGAUGAUUCCUCAGCUACAGUUUCUUCCCACAGAAAACCUGUAUGGUAAUUCUGGCACAAUUUGAGUUAGGGUGUGUGCAUCAGGCGUGAUGCAGCAUGGUGUGAAAGUAACAGAUCUUGACAUUCCCUUAAGCUCAUGAUCAGGUUUAUUGGCUUUUUGUUUUGUCCUUUUUGACCUGUGACUUCAUUCAGUUUGCAGAGUACAUAUGCCAGAUAGAUGUAGGGGAAAACCUGUAACCAAGCUUGCACUGAACUUGUCCCAGAUAGGUUCUCAUGCAACUACAAGACCUCCCAGAGAAAUACCUAACACGAAGAGAUUGUCUUUGGCUCAUCCUUGCUAAAGAUAAGGGUGGUGGCAUGUUCCAGGACUUAGCCAGGAUCUCAGGAUCAACACUGUAGAUCCCAACAGCACUGGGAGAGCAUGGAACGAAUGCAUCUGUACCCAUGGAGAUGGGCACAGUGGCAUUGCUCUGGCCCAGGCAGAGGUGGGUCCUCUGCUGUCUUUUGGUCCUGAGCUCCUCAGUAGGUUCUUAUGACACUGAUGGAAAGAACCUGUUGAGGUAAAGCUCAGUCCUCUCCUUUCUGACAUUUUCCCCCCAGUCACUGUCCCAGCUGAAGGUGAAGGAUGAUGCACCGGAAGUUAAACAGCUGCUCUUUCACUAGUCUUAGUUCUCACUGGUAUUUGACACUGCUGUUUUUAAGGCCUGAUUUUAAGGCUUAUGAAGGAAACAGAGUGCCCCAGCAUCACCCUCCAGACUGCCCUGUCUGCACUCAUUUUGUGUGAGUGUUAUGCUUAGUACAUGCUGUUGUUCUGUGAGGUCACAGAUAAGGAAUUUUGAGACCAUUCUUAGAGUGCUGUCACCAGAUUCCUGUUUGGAUGUGAGUCUUGAAGAUCUGCAUCUGAUGAGCCUAAAUGUUGACAGAGUUAAUGCAGAUGUGGGAGUUUCAAGCCCAGUGAGUGGGGCAGUGCUUGCCAGGCUGGCAGGUGGCAGCUUGGUGGCAAUUGCACAGUUGGGCAGCCUUGGAGAAGAAAGCCAGAAGGCCAAGUAAUUCCAGCAUGGCUCAACCGGCUGCUGAAACCGCGACACCUGAGACACAAGAACUUGGCCAACAUCACUUGGAGUUGCUGUCUCCUGGCUUUUGGCUUCCAGCACAGCUUGAAUUUACUCCUGAGUAGACCUCAUGUCUGCCUUCUGUUUAUCCAGCUGUUAUCAACAAAUGUGCUUACUUG